CCCGACUGCUAUCGGAUUGAGAUUAAGCCAUGCGAGUCAACCCGAAAGGGUGGCAUACGGCUCAGUAACACGUAGUCAACUUACCCUGAGGACGGGGAUAACCUCGGGAAACUGAGGAUAAACCCCGAUAAGCUAUAAUGCCUGGAAUGGAUUAUAGCUGAAAUCUACAUGGCCUCAGGAUAGGACUGCGGCCGAUCAGGCUGUUGGCGGGGUAAUGGCCCACCAAACCUAUAACCGGUACGGGCUCUGAGAGGAGGAGCCCGGAGAUGGGCACUGAGACAAGGGCCCAGGUCCUAUGGGGCGCAGCAGGCGCGAAACCUUCGCAAUGGGCGAAAGCCCGACGAGGUUAAUCCGAGUGGCUCCUGCUAAAGGAGUCUUUUGCCAGCUGUAAGGAGGCUGGUGAAUAAAGGGUGGGCAAGUCUGGUGUCAGCCGCCGCGGUAAUACCAGCACCCUGAGUGGUCGGGGCGAUUAUUUGGCCUAAAGCAUCCGUAGUCGGUAUAACAAGUCCUCUGUUAAAUCCACCUGCUUAACAGGUGGGCCGCGGAGGAUACUGUUAUACUAGGAGGCGGGAGAGGCGAGGGGUAUUCCAUGGGUAAGGGUAAAAUCUACUGAUCCGUGGAGGACCACCAGUGGCGAAGGCGUCUCGCUAGAACGCGCUCGACGAUGAGGGAUGAAAGCUGGGGGAGCAAACCGGAUUAGAUACCCGGGUAGUCCCAGCUGUAAACGAUGUAGGCUCGAUGAUGGAUUAGCUCAGUGCUAGUCCAGUGUCGCAGGGAAGCCGUUAAGCCUACCGCCUGGGAAGUACGGCCGCAAGGCUGAAACUUAAAGGAAUUGGCGGGGGAGCACCACAAGGGGUGAAGCCUGCGGUUCAAUUGGAGUCAACGCCGGGAACCUCACCAGGAGUGACAGCAGUAUGAAGGUCGGGCUGAAGACCUUACCAGACGAGCUGAGAGGAGGUGCAUGGCCGUCGCCAGCUCGUGCCGUGAGGUGUCCUGUUAAGUCAGGUAACGAGCGAGACCCCUGUCCCUAAUUGCUACCAUGACUCUUAGGAGUUGUGGAGGGAAUUAGGGAGACUGCCGUUGUUAAAACGGAGGAAGGGAGGGGCUACGGCAGGUCAGUAUGCCCCGAAACUCUUGGGCCACACGCGGGCUGCAAUGGUAGGGACAAUGGGUUUCAGGCUCGAAAGAGUGAGACAAUCCCUAAACCCUACCUCAGUUAUGAUUGAGGGCUGGAACUCGCCCUCAUGAAUCUGGAAUCCCUAGUAAUYGCGCGUCAUCAUCGCGCGGUGAAUACGUCCCUGCUCCUU
RNAcentral lists this ribosomal RNA (1307 nucleotides) under uncultured Nitrososphaerota archaeon. RNAcentral's name for it is "bacterial SSU rRNA". It matches the Rfam family "Archaeal small subunit ribosomal RNA", at positions 21 to 1337 of the family's 1478-position model. Lineage: Archaea; Thermoproteati; Nitrososphaerota. The record is from RNAcentral.